CCUGCCUCAGCAAGCGUACCUGAGAAUACUUUUAAAGGAACCUGUUGAUAAAUGCAAAACAGUGGCUGUUGCAGGUGAUGGAACUGUACUGGAACAAUGGGAGAAGCUGGUAGCUUAUAGGAAGCCAAGAUGACCAGAAUGUUUUUAAAUAAUCCAUUGGAAAGAAGACUGAUGAAGAAAAAUAACAGCAUGAUUCAGGCACACCAUUGAGUUCUUUGGGAUGCCCGAAAGUGUCUGGUUGGGAAACAUGAAAUAGAAGACGAGAA
This 266-nucleotide small RNA is filed under the name Homo sapiens (human). RNAcentral describes it as "Hum_SGMS1_5645". The record is from RNAcentral. Lineage: Eukaryota; Metazoa; Chordata; Mammalia; Primates; Hominidae.